This 472-nucleotide ribosomal RNA is filed under the name uncultured bacterium. RNAcentral describes it as "bacterial SSU rRNA". It matches the Rfam family "Bacterial small subunit ribosomal RNA", at positions 328 to 793 of the family's 1533-position model. The record is from RNAcentral.
CUCUGUGACUCCUACGGGAGGCAGCAGUGGGGAAUAUUGCACAAUGGGCGCAAGCCUGAUGCAGCCAUGCCGCGUGUGUGAAGAAGGCCUUCGGGUUGUAAAGCACUUUCAGUUGUGAGGAAGGUGGUGUCGUUAAUAGCGGCAUCAUUUGACGUUAGCAACAGAAGAAGCACCGGCUAACUCCGUGCCAGCAGCCGCGGUAAUACGGAGGGUGCGAGCGUUAAUCGGAAUUACUGGGCGUAAAGCGCAUGCAGGUGGUUUGUUAAGUCAGAUGUGAAAGCCCGGGGCUCAACCUCGGAACUGCAUUUGAAACUGGCAGACUAGAGUACUGUAGAGGGGGUAGAAUUUCAGGUGUAGCGGUGAAAUGCGUAGAGAUCUGAAGGAAUACCGGUGGCGAAGGCGGCCCCCUGGACAGAUACUGACACUCAGAUGCGAAAGCGUGGGGAGCAAACAGGAUUAGACACCCUGGUAA